AACGCGAAGAACCUUACCUGGACUCGAAAUUUUGUUGACAGUCUCAGAGAUGAGAUCUUCCCGCAAGGGACCUGUGUAGAGGUGCUGCAUGGCUGUCGUCAGCUCGUGCCGUGAGGUGUUGGGUUAAGUCCCGCAACGAGCGCAACCCUUACUCGUAGUUGCCACCCGCAAGGGGGAACUCUACGAGGACUGCUCCGGAUAACGGAGAGGAAGGUGGGGAUGAGGUCAAGUCAGCAUGGCCUUUAUGUCCAGGGCUACACACGUGUUACAAUGCGCGCUACAAAGCGUUGCAAACCCGCGAGGGGGAGCUAAUCGCAAAAAAGCGCGCUCAGUUCGGAUUGCAGUCUGCAACUCGACUGCAUGAAGCUGGAAUCGCUAGUAAUGGCGCAUCAGAACGGCGCCGUGAAUACGUUCCCGGGCCUUGUACACACCGCAUAC
This 438-nucleotide ribosomal RNA is filed under the name uncultured bacterium. RNAcentral's name for it is "bacterial SSU rRNA". It matches the Rfam family "Bacterial small subunit ribosomal RNA", at positions 958 to 1397 of the family's 1533-position model. The record is from RNAcentral.